Molecule: long non-coding RNA, 1227 nt
Organism: Bactrocera neohumeralis
Lineage: Eukaryota; Metazoa; Arthropoda; Insecta; Diptera; Tephritidae
Exons: 3
Source: RefSeq, a predicted model, not a curated record
UUUAGUCAUAAAUCAAAAGUGCGCAAACAAAUAUGAAUGAGUGCAUAACUGUAUAUGCGUAUGUGUUUGUGCAUGUGGGCGUCGCAAGUUUUUUCUGCUUACAGCAGACAGUGUAAAGCCGCACACGCGCUGAACAGCAAGCAUACAGGGCAAGGCAAGGAAAAACAUUGAAAAGCAUACGCAGAUAUCCUAAUUCUACAGAAAUUACACACACACGCGCGCAGGCAGGCAGGAGGUAUCAUAAAUGUCAUUGUAUGCAGACCGCUGUGUAUGAGGUUAGGCAUUCUGUUUGCAAAUGGAUCCGUAAAACAUCUGUAUUGUCGUUGCGGGAUGAAUAAUUAAAUUGUCUUGCAUGUGCGGAAUGCUCGCAUUGAAUGAGCACAAAAACAAGAUAUUAUAUGGAGAUUGAAGUAUGCGGUCUGUGGCAACCCAUUGCCUGCAGUGCGUUAAAAAAUAGCGCCGACGUAGUUUUUAAGUGUGUGCACUUGCACUCACACUCAUGCGCCGCUACACUCAGACUUGAGUGAAUUGCGCUAAGUGCGGACAAUUCAGAAUCGCGACAGCAGAAAUCAAAAAAUGCGAAAAUAUGAAACAUUCAAAAAAAAUAAAUAAAAACACAAAAGUGUAAACAGCACAAAGGCAUGUGCAUAAAACAUACAAGCUCUGACAGUUAAAGAAUAUGCAACAAAAAACCGCAUUGAAUACUACAAAGCUAAGCAGCCACACAUAUCAACAACAAAAAAAUCAGAAAUCAGCGUUGAAACGACAUAACUCAAAAAUUUCAGUUUGGGUUAUAUUUGUUUGUGCAUUGCUUGCUUAUUUUAAUAAAUUUGAGUUCUCUACCCUCUCGGACAGGCGUUCCAUACGCUCAUUUUACGUCGACGCUUUGAGGUGAUUUGUGGGCCGGUGGAAUCAUCCAACAUAUCCAUAUUUCUUCAAAGAUAAUGCCGCUGUGAACGUAACCGUCAAUAGCUACCUUUAUCGCGCCAUGAUAACCGCCUAUUUGAUGCCUGUAAUUGAAUCUUGUUAUCUCGAUGACAUUUGGUUUCAACAAGAUGGUGGCACUUCACACACAUCGCACCAAUUAAAGAAUUUAUUGAGAGAACACUUCGGUGAUCAAGCCUUGGAGCAAAACAUCACACGUGUCAUUCGCCUAUUACCAGUCGAAAUGCUCGAAUGAGUCAUCAAAAAUUGGAUUUAAAGAAUGAUAAUCUUUAAAACAUUAAC